GGAAGGAUCAUUAUUGAAUAAAUGAUGAUAGGCUGUUGCUGGCUCUCAACCAGGGGAGCAUGUGCACGCUUGUCACCUUUAUGUUUCCACCUGUGCACUCUUUGUAGAUCCCUAUAGAAGGACUUGCUGUGUUUUACAAAAAGAGAACCAGCUUGCCCUGUGUAUCUUUAGGACCUAUGCUAGUUAAAAUACUCCUAUAAAUGCAUUGGAAUGUUGGUUGUGGGUCAAUUUUUAGUACCUAUAAAAGUUUUAUACAACUUUCAGCAACGGAUCUCUUGGCUCUCGCAUCGAUGAAGAACGCAGCGAAAUGCGAUAAGUAAUGUGAAUUGCAGAAUUCAGUGAAUCAUCGAAUCUUUGAACGCAUCUUGCGCUCUUUGGUAUUCCGAGGAGCAUGCCUGUUUGAGUGUCAUUAAAUUCUCAACUACACUGAGUUUGUUUUGGUGUAGCUUGGAUUUGGGGGUAAUAUAUUUUGCAGGCUUUGUAAAUAAAGUCAGCUCUCCUGAAAUUUAUUAGUGGGAUAGCUCAGUAAGAACAUCUAUAGGUGUGAUAAUUCUUAUGCCUUAGUUGUCUACAUGCUUUAUUCUACUUCUAACCUCUUUCUAUGAGAAAGGUGUCAUCUUUUUGAUGACAAGCUUGACCUCAAAUCAGGUAGGAUUACCCGCUGAACUUAAGCAUAUCAGUAAGCGGAGGAAAAGAAACUAACAAGGAUUCCCCUAGUAACUGCGAGUGAAGCGGGAAAAGCUCAAAUUUAAAAUCUGGUGGCCAUUGGCUAUCCGAGUUGUAAUCUAGAGAAGUGUUACCCGUGCUGAACCGUGUACAAGUCUCCUGGAAUGGAGUAUCAUAGAGGGUGAGAAUCCCGUCUUUGACAUGGCUUAACAGUACAUUGUGGUAUGCUCUCAAAGAGUCGAGUUGUUUGGGAAUGCAGCUCAAAAUGGGUGGUAAAUGCCAUCUAAAGCUAAAUAUUGGCGAGAGACCGAUAGUGAACAAGUACCGUGAGGGAAAGAUGAAAAGAACUUUGGAAAGAGAGUUAAACAGUACGUGAAAUUGCUGAAAGGGAAACGCUUGAAGUCAGUCGUGUUGACUUGGAAUCAACUCUGCUUUUGCUGGGUGUACUUCCUUGUUAAUGGGUCAGCAUCAAUUUUGACCGUUGGAUAAAGUUAUUGGGAAUGUAGCAUCUUCGGAUGUGUUAUAGUCCAAUGAUGCAUACAACAGUUGAGAUUGAGGAAUUCAGCACGCCGCAAGGCCGGGUUUCGACCACGUUCGUGCUUUGGAUGCUGGCAUAAUGGCUUUAAUCGACCCGUCUUGAAACACGGACCAAGGAGUCUAACAUGCCUGCAAGUGUUUGGGUGGCAAACCCAUGCGCGUAAUGAAAGUGAAAGUUGAGAUCCCUUUGGGGAGCAUUGACGCCCAGACCAGACCUUUUGUGACGGAUCUGCGGUAGAGCAUGCAUGUUGGGACCCGAAAGAUGGUGAACUAUGCCUGAAUAGGGUGAAGCCAGAGGAAACUCUGGUGGAGGCUCGUAGCGAUUCUGACGUGCAAAUCGAUCGUCAAAUUUGGGUAUAGGGGCGAAAGACUAAUCGAACCAUCUAGUAGCUGGUUCCUGC
This 1604-nucleotide unclassified non-coding RNA is filed under the name uncultured fungus. RNAcentral describes it as "sequence contains 18S rRNA gene, ITS1, 5.8S rRNA gene, ITS2, 28S rRNA gene". The stretch from base 635 to 1604 matches the Rfam family "Eukaryotic large subunit ribosomal RNA", at positions 1 to 961 of the family's 3401-position model. The record is from RNAcentral. Lineage: Eukaryota; Fungi.